Molecule: transfer RNA, 77 nt
Filed under: Abyssogena phaseoliformis symbiont OG214
Lineage: Bacteria; Pseudomonadati; Pseudomonadota; Gammaproteobacteria
Also listed under: 1 other name
Description: tRNA-Arg
Rfam family: tRNA
About the family: Transfer RNA (tRNA) molecules are approximately 80 nucleotides in length. Their secondary structure includes four short double-helical elements and three loops (D, anti-codon, and T loops). Further hydrogen bonds mediate the characteristic L-shaped molecular structure. tRNAs have two regions of fundamental functional importance: the anti-codon, which is responsible for specific mRNA codon recognition, and the 3' end, to which the tRNAs corresponding amino acid is attached (by aminoacyl-tRNA synthetases). tRNAs cope with the degeneracy of the genetic code in two manners: having more than one tRNA (with a specific anti-codon) for a particular amino acid; and 'wobble' base-pairing, i.e. permitting non-standard base-pairing at the 3rd anti-codon position.
Source: RNAcentral
GCCUUCGUAGCUCAGCUGGAUAGAGCAGCCGCCUCCUAAGCGGCAGGUCAUGCGUUCAAAUCGCGUCGAGGGCACUA